RNAcentral lists this ribosomal RNA (1515 nucleotides) under Triticum aestivum (bread wheat). RNAcentral describes it as "partial small subunit ribosomal RNA". Lineage: Eukaryota; Viridiplantae; Streptophyta; Magnoliopsida; Poales; Poaceae. The record is from RNAcentral.
AUGCACAAUAGCAACAUGGACUUGACAAUUGACGCCAUGUGGUUGUUCCUAGCUAUUUUUCUCAUCACUGCAAUAAUCAUUAAGAAUGCAAAUGCAAGAGUUACCUCUGAUCCAGGGUGUACACGACCACCUCCACCUGUGGUCAAUAUCAUUGCUCUCCUAAAACUCUUACCUACCUUGUGUACAAAGGGCCCCGAAGUUACAAUGACCUAUCUGUAUAACACAUUUGGUAGUGUGUUCACAAUACGUUUUCUUUGGAAAAGAAUAAGCUUCUUGGUUGGGCCAGAGGUCUCUGGUCUUUUCUUUCAAGGUUCGGAGUCCGAGGUUUCCCAAGGUAAUAUGAAUGAGUUCACUGUGCCCAUGUUUGGCCAAGAGAACGGAUAUGCCGUAGAUUACAACACCCGAAGCCAGGAGAUUCGCUUCUUCAUUGACGCUCUAAAGCCAUCGCAACUGAGGAGCCAUGUUGACCCCAUGCUUCGUGAAGUGGAGGACUACUUUGCAAAAUGGGGAGAAGAGGGGGUAGUCGAUCUGAAAGAUGAGCUCAACCAGAUACUCAUGUUGAUCGCAAGUCGGUGCUUACUUGGAAAUGAGUUUAGAGAAAGCUUACAUGGAAAUGAGGUUAGAGAAAAGCCAUUUGGUGAGAUUUACACAUUGUUUAGUGGAAUCGAAGAAGGGGUGAACUUGGUGAGUUUCAUGCUCCCAUAUUUCCCUGUUCCGGCAAAUCACCGACGAGACAAAGCACGGAUCAGACUUACAGAGAUUGUUUAUGAUAUUAUGAGGUCAAGAAAGACAUGCGGCCGUGUCGAGGAAGAUGUGCUCCAGAAAUUGAUGGACUCUAGGUAUAAAGACGGCCGUCGUACAACAGAAGCGGCGGUCGCCGGGAUGAUCAUCGGAUUGAUAUUUGCUGGAAAACACACAAGCUCAAAUGUAUCCACCUGGACAGGAGCUUGCCUAUUGACCCAUACAAAGUUUUUAGAUGCUGUUGUGGAAGAGCAAAGGGAAAUAAUUAGAAAAUAUAAGGACAAGAUAGACUAUAAUGUCUUGUCAAAGAUGGAGACAUUGCAUAGUUGCAUCAAAGAGGCAGGACGUAUGCAUCCAGUAACACUAGGGUUGAUUCGCCAAACAGAAAAGAAUAUCAAUGUGAGGACAAAAGAGGGAACUGAAUAUGGCAUCCCGAAAGGUGACACCUUAGUAAAUCUUGUAAUGCUAACCAGUAAGUUGUCACACAUUUACAAGGACCCUGAAGUGUAUGACCCAUACCGGUUUCAUCCUGGAAGAGAGGAGGACAAAGUUGGUGGUAAAUUCUCGUACGCAAUAUUUGGCGGUGGAAUCCAUGUUUGUCCCGGGGAGGCCUAUGCUUUCUUGCAAAUUAAAAUUAUAUGGAGCCAUUUGGUGAGAAAUUUUGAGCUCAAACUCACUUCUCCUUUUCCGAAGACAGACUGGAGCAAGUUUGUGUUAGAGCCUAAAGGGAAAGUGCUGGUAAACUAUAAGAGACGUCGUCUGGAAAGCAACUGA